RNAcentral lists this ribosomal RNA (305 nucleotides) under uncultured bacterium. RNAcentral's name for it is "bacterial SSU rRNA". It matches the Rfam family "Bacterial small subunit ribosomal RNA", at positions 335 to 640 of the family's 1533-position model. The record is from RNAcentral.
GGCCUACGGGAGGCAGCAGUGAGGAAUAUUGGUCAAUGGGCGGGAGCCUGAACCAGCCAUGCCGCGUGAAGGCGAGUGCCCUACGGGCGUUAAACUUCUUUUGUGCGGGAGCAAUAAGGGCCACGUGUGGCCCGAUGAGAGUACCGCACGAAUAAGCAUCGGCUAACUCCGUGCCAGCAGCCGCGGUAAUACGGGGGAUGCGAGCGUUAUCCGGAUUUAUUGGGUUUAAAGGGUGCGUAGGCGGACUGUUAAGUCAGCGGUAAAAGCCCGGGGCUCAACCCCGGCGAGCCGUUGAAACUGGCUGU